RNAcentral lists this ribosomal RNA (433 nucleotides) under uncultured bacterium. RNAcentral describes it as "bacterial SSU rRNA". It matches the Rfam family "Bacterial small subunit ribosomal RNA", at positions 352 to 782 of the family's 1533-position model. The record is from RNAcentral.
CAGUGAGGAAUAUUGGUCAAUGGGCGCAAGCCUGAACCAGCCAUGCCGCGUGCAGGAUGACGGUCCUAUGGAUUGUAAACUGCUUUUGUACGGGAAGAAACACUGAUUCGUGAAUCAGCUUGACGGUACCGUAAGAAUAAGGAUCGGCUAACUCCGUGCCAGCAGCCGCGGUAAUACGGAGGAUCCAAGCGUUAUCCGGAAUCAUUGGGUUUAAAGGGUCUGUAGGCGGUCUUGUAAGUCAGUGGUGAAAGCCCAUCGCUCAACGGUGGAACGGCCAUUGAUACUGCAGGACUUGAAUUAUUGGGAAGUAACUAGAAUAUGUAGUGUAGCGGUGAAAUGCUUAGAGAUUACAUGGAAUACCAAUUGCGAAGGCAGGUUACUACCAAUUGAUUGACGCUGAUGGACGAAAGCGUGGGUAGCGAACAGGAUUAGA